This 253-nucleotide ribosomal RNA is filed under the name uncultured bacterium. RNAcentral describes it as "partial 16S ribosomal RNA". It matches the Rfam family "Bacterial small subunit ribosomal RNA", at positions 524 to 776 of the family's 1533-position model. The record is from RNAcentral.
UACGUAGGGUGCAAGCGUUGUCCGGAAUUAUUGGGCGUAAAGAGCUCGUAGGCGGUUUGUCGCGUCUGCUGUGAAAACUCGGGGCUUAACUCCGGGCCUGCAGUGGGUACGGGCAAACUAGAGUGCGGUAGGGGAGACUGGAAUUCCUGGUGUAGCGGUGAAAUGCGCAGAUAUCAGGAGGAACACCGGUGGCGAAGGCGGGUCUCUGGGCCGUAACUGACGCUGAGGAGCGAAAGCGUGGGGAGCGAACAGG